This 443-nucleotide ribosomal RNA is filed under the name uncultured bacterium. Its description in RNAcentral is "bacterial SSU rRNA". It matches the Rfam family "Bacterial small subunit ribosomal RNA", at positions 958 to 1398 of the family's 1533-position model. The record is from RNAcentral.
AACGCGAAGAACCUUACCUGGGCUUGAACCGCACAGGACCAGCUUUAGAAAUAGAGCCUUCCCGCAAGAGACUGCUAUAUAGGUGCUGCAUGGCUGUCGUCAGCUCGUGUCGUGAGAUGUUGGGUUAAGUCCCGCAACGAGCGCAACCCUUAUCCCUAGUUGCCAUCGGGUCAAGCCGGGCACUCUAGUGAAACCGCCCAGGAUAACUGGGAGGAAGGUGGGGAUGACGUCAAGUCCUCAUGGCCUUUAUGUCCAGGGCUACACACGUGCUACAAUGGUCGGUACAAACCGUCGCAAACCCGCGAGGGGGAGCUAAUCGGAAAAAGCCGGCCUCAGUUCGGAUUGGAGUCUGCAACCCGACUCCAUGAAGCUGGAAUCGCUAGUAAUCGCGGAUCAGAACGCCGCGGUGAAUACGUUCCCGGGCCUUGUACACACCGAGUAUA